GUUUAUUAUGUCUGUGACAGAUGUUGAAUGAUCUGAUCAGUAGCUAAGUGAAGAAGUCGUUUUUUGACUGUAGAACAGUAACACCUUGGUUUACAGCAAGAUGAUAUAGUAUUUGUUUGUUUUGGAGAGCGGGAAGGAGAGAGAAAGAGGGAGUAGAGUAGAGAGCGAAAGAGAGGGAAUGAGAGGGUGUGUUUGAGAGGUAAGGGUGACAGAAAGAAACUUGACUGUGAGGAGAGUCAGAGAGGGAGAAAGAAAGAGCGAGUGAGUGAGAGAGAGAGGAGGAAGUCUAACUGAAACUGAAACAUGUCAGCUGUUGGGUAAGUGAGACUGAAGAAGAAAAAUAGGUAAUAGAGAAAAGGUGUGAGAGACAGAGAGAGAGAGCGAGUCAGGGUCAGGGUGUAUGCAUGCCAGCGGGAUGGAGAGACCCUCCUGUCUCUCACGGAGCAGCAAGAUGAACAGCUACAUCACCAACGCCCUCUCUGACUUCUUCUUCAAGUAUGAGACCCCCCGCCAGGUGCUGGUGCGGAACAGGAGAGUGGGGGUUGUGUGCCGAUUGAUUCAGCUGGGGGUCCUGGCUUACAUCAUCGGUUGGGUGUUUAUCUAUGAGAAAGGCUACCAGUCGACAGACACGGCCGUGAGUUCUGUCUUUACUAAAAUGAAAGGGGUGGGCUACACCAACGUGGAUGGAGAGGAGAGGGUCUGGGACAUGGUCGACUACGUCUUCCCUGAACAGGGAGACUCAUCUUUUGUGGUGAUGACCAACUACAUUAUAACCAAAGGUCAGAAGAUGGGAAAAUGUCCUGAGCUCACAGAACCCAGGUAUCUCUGCAACUCCGACUCAGACUGUGAAAGAGGGAUAAUAGAACGUACGGGACAUGGACAUAUGACGGGGAAGUGUGUGGGGAACACAACCAAGACGUGUGAGGUUGUAGCCUGGUGCCCUGUGGAAGAUGACCACACAAUCCCAGAUCCCGCACUUUUGAUGUCGGCAGAGAACUACACACUGUUCAUCAAAAACUCUGUCACCUUUCCAGCAUAUGGUGUUAAGAGGAGUAACCUUGUAGAAGGUAUCGACAAUCAGUACAUCAAGAGUUGUGUGUAUGACCCGACAACGUCCCCACUGUGUCCCAUUUUCAGACUGAGUGACUUGGUACAGCUGUCUGGCUUCAACUUCGCCACCAUAGCCAAAGUGGGCGGGGCGAUUGGUAUCGUCAUUGACUGGACCUGUAACCUGGACUAUGACCAGUCAGAGUGUAAACCGGUCUACACCUUCCACGGUCUCUAUGGAAAUCCCAAUGAGACAGACAUGGCUAGAGCGUCUGUUGGAUACAACUUCCGGUAUGCAAAGUAUUAUAUGGAGGACAAACAGGAAAAAAGAACACUUCUGAAAGUGUUUGGGAUUCGAUUUGACAUCAUUGUUCGUUCAGUGGCCAGAAAAUUUGAUAUCAUCCCAACACUAACAGCUAUAGGGUCUGGCGUUGGAAUCUUUGGAGUGGCGACUGUAGUAUGCGAUCUGAUCCUUCUGUAUCUACUACCAAAGAGGGAGUUCUACAACAACAUGAAAUUCAAGGUCACAGAAACAGUAGAGCAGUGCGACAACCUGAGGCUGGGUAUAAACACGUUCAUCUAUUACAUCCCCGACGUCUAUGCAGGACCACAAGUCUCAGCCAAUAUAAUCCUACAACAUAAAGAACCUUUAGAUGAGUUCUCGUCAGAAAAAUAAGUAUCCAAGAAACAUUCAGAUGAGGUGCUAGUGCAUCAGUGACUUACUGCAAUCAAUCUGAGGAGUGAUCCUAAAAAGGGCAGAUUCAUGACUCUUGGGCUCCAGACAGCAGAAACAGGGGGAUCCGGCUCCAACUCUGGAGAACACAGACUCCAGGCUGUACUGCCAUGCAAAGGACACUUGGACAGGAAAAUACAGUCACAAACAACAUUCUUCUCUCUUCAGCUCAAUUAUUCAACUGCUAAUUAUUUAUACCUUCAAAUCUUGGCAACAGACCUCAAAUGAUGCUAUCUGUUUAGGAGAUAAACCGAGAUAAAUACAGGAUAUUAUUCUUUCAGAGACAGAAGCAGCCGCCCUCCUUUGUUCACCUCAUAAUAAGAAUAAGAAUACCCUAACCCUAAAAGUACUGUUCUCUCAACAUUGCAGAAUUAGCACGGAGUAUUAGUUGAGUGUUGGUUCAUUACCUCAACGCUCCAUGGUUUAUAACACAUUUUUAGCACCCCUUCUACUUUAUGGGAGAACCACGGAUUUCCAACUUGAUAUGACCAUUAUAAACACAGUUCCAUAACAUGUUUAUAACACGGUUAUAACAGCCCACCACCCAUUUCCAACCUCUUCCAUCGGCACAGAGCCCUCAAUGUUGUCUUCGAGAGACGACACUAGAAUGACUACUGGUGGGUUACUCCACUUUGAAAGACACAGAAAUAAUUAUGUAUUUUAGGUUAAAUCUUUCUCAUUUACAGUUUGCGAUUGCCAUGUGAAUUCAAUAAACCAUGUUCUGAGUUUAGGUUUUAUCCUUGUAUACCCUUUUACAGGUUACUUACAAAAUACAAAAUUAUUCAAAAAUGA
This is an RNA transcript of Oncorhynchus kisutch (coho salmon), 2572 nucleotides long. It is a transcript of the gene named P2X purinoceptor 1, with no coding region annotated. The transcript is spliced from 15 exons. Lineage: Eukaryota; Metazoa; Chordata; Actinopteri; Salmoniformes; Salmonidae. The record is from RefSeq and is a predicted model, not a curated record.